UACAGGGGGUGCAAGCGUUGUCCGGAAUUAUUGGGCGUAAAGAGCUCGUAGGCGGUCUGUCGCGUCUGCUGUGAAAUCCCGGGGCUCAACUCCGGGCUUGCAGUGGAUACGGGCAGACUAGAGUUCGGUAGGGGAGACUGGAAUUCCUGGUGUAGCGGUGAAAUGCGCAGAUAUCAGGAGGAACACCGGUGGCGAAGGCGGGUCUCUGGGCCGAUACUGACGCUGAGGAGCGAAAGCGUGGGGAGCGAACAGG
RNAcentral lists this ribosomal RNA (253 nucleotides) under uncultured bacterium. RNAcentral's name for it is "partial 16S ribosomal RNA". It matches the Rfam family "Bacterial small subunit ribosomal RNA", at positions 524 to 776 of the family's 1533-position model. The record is from RNAcentral.